UUUUCUAGCUCCUGUUGUAAACUAGGAGUUGGGAAUAGAUUCGAAAGAUGUAGAAUCCUCAGAGUUCUUCUUAAGGCUAGGUAAAUCCCGCUCAUAGAGGUAUCAGUUUUAGAGUCGUACUAAUCUGCUUAUCCUAGGAACUCCUUGCUUUCGUAGCUAUUUUAGACAAGAACCGUGGGACUCUCAUCAAAGGAUUAGCUUGGUUGGUAGCCUUGGUUCUAUCUCUUCUUGUUCUUGCUAGGAGUUCGAGUUCUUUAUCAGAGAUCUAGGAAAGAAGCAAGGAAAGAUAGCUCUAAAUAGAGUCGUUUUCCUGUCCUACUAGUUAAUCCAGGAAUAAGCUGGGAAAUUCCUACUUUUCUUCUAGCUUUUGAAGUUCUCCUAGAGAGGAAACAUGCACAACUAGGAGUAAAUGGAUCCUUUCUGGCGUCACUGACUUACUUGUUAGUUUACCAGAUUGUCUUGAUGUUCCGUGUACCGUAAUUUCCCUUUCCUAGUCAGAGUGGAAUUUCAUCCAAUAUAGCUCUUUAUAUAAGGCAUUUGGAAUCGAAGAAUUCAAACAGGAAUUUCUCAUACCACCAAUCUAGCUAAAGAGCAUUCCCUUACCUACACAGCAUUCCACAGUGAUCCGUACCUUGACCUUGAACCAGAACUCGCUUAAGGAAGAACGGAAAAAGGACUAGUCCAAAGAAGGUUUUAAACGGCAUCUGAAGGACUUCUCAAUUGAUGCUAUGGUUCUUCUAAGGAGGAAAGGAAGACACACAAGCCAAGCGAAAAGGUUUCAGCCUAGGUAAGGGAGAAGUAAAGGUCCCAGGUAAAGAGCUAGGGAUAUAGGACACCUAUAGUACAGAUAUCGGUACAAAUACCGUUUAUCCAAUGCCAGGGAACUAACAGUUAUAGUAUCAUACCAGUGAAAUACCUGAGUUAAUCGCUACUACCACUUGACUUGGUCGGUGCAUUCCAAGUUAUUUGUAUAAGGGAAGCCCUCUUACUUUUAUAACACCUAGGGAUCAUCUCUGGUUAUGUGAAGAGUUCUUUUU
Molecule: long non-coding RNA, 1037 nt
Filed under: Salvia miltiorrhiza (redroot sage)
Lineage: Eukaryota; Viridiplantae; Streptophyta; Magnoliopsida; Lamiales; Lamiaceae
Description: long non-coding RNA (SMIL_LNC003068)
Source: RNAcentral